Pelobates cultripes (western spadefoot toad) is the source of this 206-nucleotide non-coding RNA. Lineage: Eukaryota; Metazoa; Chordata; Amphibia; Anura; Pelobatidae. The record is from the annotation of a GenBank genome assembly.
CAGGGGACAUGCAUGCCAUGUUAUCCUCACUCAUGGCAUCCAUGGGCAAGGUCAACUCCAGGCUGGAGAAACUUGAGACGGUCACCACGGCCCUCACUCUAGCAGGGCCAACCGCGGCUGCAGUACAAACACCAGCCUUGCCAUUAGUCGCUCCAGCCAGCCCCCUGGAUGACCAGGAAGUUAGCCCGGCCCACAUGAUACCUGAG